RNAcentral lists this ribosomal RNA (250 nucleotides) under uncultured bacterium. Its description in RNAcentral is "partial 16S ribosomal RNA". It matches the Rfam family "Bacterial small subunit ribosomal RNA", at positions 524 to 773 of the family's 1533-position model. The record is from RNAcentral.
UACGGAGGGUGCAAGCGUUAUCCGGAUUCACUGGGUUUAAAGGGUGCGUAGGUGGGUUGGUAAGUCAGUGGUGAAAUCCCCGAGCUUAACUUGGGAACUGCCAUUGAUACUAUCAGUCUUGAAUACCGUGGAGGUCGGCGGAAUAUGUCAUGUAGCGGUGAAAUGCUUAGAUAUGACAUAGAACACCAAUUGCGAAGGCAGCUGGCUACGCGGAUAUUGACACUGAGGCACGAAAGCGUGGGGAUCAAAC